Long non-coding RNA from Xenopus tropicalis (tropical clawed frog), 185 nucleotides. RefSeq lists it as uncharacterized. The transcript has 3 exons. The record is from RefSeq and is a predicted model, not a curated record. NCBI's taxonomy places the organism in Eukaryota, Metazoa, Chordata, Amphibia, Anura, Pipidae.
AUGAACAUGCUGGAAUGUGCGUGACUCUUGAAUGUAACGAGAAAUGUGAGACAACAACGACUACGACACCUUGUACAAAAACAACAACACCAACAACAACAACAAUAAAAAGCACACACACAACAUGUUUCUGUAUUUACGGGAAACGCCAUUUCAAGUCAGGUCAGAGAAUAAGGAGUAGUGAA